This 433-nucleotide ribosomal RNA is filed under the name uncultured bacterium. RNAcentral describes it as "partial 16S ribosomal RNA". It matches the Rfam family "Bacterial small subunit ribosomal RNA", at positions 29 to 507 of the family's 1533-position model. The record is from RNAcentral.
AACGAACGCUGGCGGCAUGCCUAACACAUGCAAGUCGAACGAUUCCUUCGGGUCUAGUGGUGCACGUGUGCGUAACGCGUGGGAACCUGCCCUUAGGUUCGGAAUAACUUCCCGAAAGGGGUGCUAAUACCGGAUAAUGUCUUCGGACCAAAGAUUUAUCGCCUUUGGUUGUGCCCGCGUUGGAUUAGCUAGUUGGUAGGGUAAAAGCCUACCAAGGGGUCGAUCCAUAGCUGGUCUGAGAGGAAGAUCAGCGACACUGGGACGGAGACACGGCCCAGAAUCCUACGGGAGGCAGCAGUGGGGAAUAGUGGACAAUGGGCGAAAGCCUGAUCCAGCAAUGCCGGGUGAGUGAUGAAGGCCUUAGGGUUGUAAAGCGCUUUUAACCGGGAUGAUAAUGACAGUACCGGGAGAAUAAGCUCCGGCUAACUACGUG